UGGGGUAUGACGCAAUUGGCUAGCGUGCUGGUCUCAUUAACCAGAGGUUUUAGGUUCGAGUCCUAAUGCCCCAA
Molecule: transfer RNA, 74 nt
Filed under: Dokdonia pacifica
Lineage: Bacteria; Pseudomonadati; Bacteroidota; Flavobacteriia; Flavobacteriales; Flavobacteriaceae
Rfam family: tRNA
About the family: Transfer RNA (tRNA) molecules are approximately 80 nucleotides in length.
Source: Rfam by way of RNAcentral